UAUAGUUAAAUAUGAUAACAGGAGCUAUUGUUGGGGAUGCUACGCGAACUACAUCUCCACCACCAGCGGCCCAGGUAUCAUAAAUUCCACCGAAGUACAUAGCUUUCGCAACAAGUAGAUAACAUCCGCAACCUAAUAACACUAGAUGAAAUCCCAAGAUUGUUGCCAUCUUAUUUUUGUCACGCCA
RNAcentral lists this antisense RNA (187 nucleotides) under Karenia mikimotoi. Its description in RNAcentral is "Antisense RNA which regulates isiA expression". It matches the Rfam family "Antisense RNA which regulates isiA expression". Lineage: Eukaryota; Dinophyceae; Gymnodiniales; Kareniaceae. The record is from Rfam by way of RNAcentral.